Molecule: non-coding RNA, 742 nt
Organism: Benincasa hispida (wax gourd)
Lineage: Eukaryota; Viridiplantae; Streptophyta; Magnoliopsida; Cucurbitales; Cucurbitaceae
Source: RefSeq, a predicted model, not a curated record
UAAGACCCUCAUGAUGUCUUGCAAAAAUGAUGUCUUGCAAAAAUGACGUCGUCAACAAAAUAUCUUUUCCACUAUCCAAUCAUGAUGUCUUGCAAAAAUGACGUCGAGAUAGCCAGUUUCUCUCAAUCAUAGAGUUGAGCUACCAAAGAGACCUUAUGGACCUAUAGCUUGAAGCUCCAACGCAAACGCAGAAAUCAAUUGCAUACGCAGAAGCCAGGCUAUCGCGAAGACGACCGCAUGCGGGGAAUCUUUCCAUCGCAAAGGUGAAUGCAUACGUUCGACGCAUGGAUGUUGUGGCCAUUAACUGCAUGCGUCCAUCACAUAGAAGUUGCGGCUACAAAGUAAUAACCAUAAUAGAGGGAUGAGAGCAAGGUGGUGGAAUGUGUUGAUACUUCGGAAACCAAGCAUGAACGCAUACCUUGGGAGUAUCAAAAAGUGAUGUUGACAUUUCACCUACCAUGUUGUUAGCAGCAGAGAUUUAGAGCAAGUCCAUCACGUCCAUCACGCCGUUAGCUGCAGAAUUUCAAAGAAGAACCAUUAAUGAUGUUGGCGAUCAAGCUCUAUAAAUAGAAGUCGUAGAGCAGAACUUCAAAUUAUCCAAGGCCCUCUGCCGGAGGGCAGAUCCUUAUGAUCCAGACCAAAGUGUAAGAAGAUAGUCUUGAGAGUUCUUCAUCCUCUCAACCAUUCCGAGUGAUGAUCAGAGCCUUCACCGGAGUUAGAGCUCGAGAGAGUCUACUCCACU